GUAAAGCUGAGCGCUGGCGUUCUUGGUCCCAGACCGCCGGUACCCGGCGUCCUUCCUUAUCCGGGACAGCUUGGAGCCCUGGAUGACCUGAGGAGCCAGGAGUCACACUCAGACUGCACCGUGGAUCGUCCUUAUUCAGCUGUGAACGAAUCUACAGGAAAAACCUAACUGGAAUGUGCCAGGCUCUAGCCAGAGGAGACCCCAAAAAUAUGAACUGCAACAGAUAACGAGCCGCUGGCUCCGACGCAUCUGCGACCAGUCUCGGGGUGCUUUAUCCACACGCUGGAUUCAUUCCAUGAUGCUGAGUGAGGAAAGCUGGAUUCUAGUCGCAGCCCGGCCAUGACCAACUACUUGACCUUGGCCCACGUGUUCUCAGUAUGGAGACAACACCAGCUAUGACCGCUGAUUUGAAGCAUGUCCUACCUUCUGCAGUUUCUCAGGUCCAUCGACCUCCAUCUCUCUUCUGUGGCUUCAUCAGAGAAGGAUGAGUGAACAGUGCUGGUUCCCUGUCCUGUGCUGAGAUGACAUUGCAGGGGUACAGAGGAGACAAGCCACGGACAACCUGUAGCAACAGGAGGAGGAGAAUUAAUAGGAAGGUAAGACCAGAGACUUUCUCUCUGCCCCGCACCCCACCUGCCAACCACGCUGGAUCUCAGACAUCUGACCCAGCUCAGCUCAUGGAAUGCUUCUUCUGAGACUUCAGGUCACAGAGAGUGAUGCAAGGACACAGAGGCAGGUGAGAGACCACCCCCGACAGCCGAGCCCAAGGAUGAGAGUCCAGCAGCAGCACCAUCAAGCAGAGUGUGGGACUUUGGCAUUGAGUGGCCAGGGGCAGCUGUGCCUGGCAGCAUCUUCAUCACACUGACCCUGAGGGGUGACCUUGGCUGUGAUACCCACUGCCUGGCCUCUUGUUCUGGUCAUCCUAUGAGCCUGGUUUGCCAGCCUCUCUUCAAUUCUCAAGCUACCUGAUAUCUUUCCA
This 979-nucleotide long non-coding RNA is filed under the name Equus asinus (donkey). RNAcentral describes it as "lncRNA (ENSEASG00005025781.1)". The record is from RNAcentral. Lineage: Eukaryota; Metazoa; Chordata; Mammalia; Perissodactyla; Equidae.